Molecule: ribosomal RNA, 534 nt
Filed under: uncultured bacterium
Lineage: Bacteria
Description: bacterial SSU rRNA
Rfam family: Bacterial small subunit ribosomal RNA
Source: RNAcentral
UGGGGAAUUUUCCGCAAUGGGCGAAAGCCUGACGGAGCAAUACCGCGUGAAGGAAGACGGCCUAUGGGUUGUAAACUUCUUUUUUCAGGGAGGAAUUCAAUGACGUGUACCUGAAGAAUAAGCAUCGGCUAACUCCGUGCCAGCAGCCGCGGUAAGACGGAGGAUGCAAGUGUUAUCCGGAAUCACUGGGCGUAAAGCGUCUGUAGGUUGUUAAACAAGUCAACUGUUAAAUCUUGAGGCUCAACUUCAAAAUCGCAGUCGAAACUGUUUGACUAGAGUAUAGUAGGGGUAAAGGGAAUUUCCAGUGGAGCGGUGAAAUGCGUAGAUAUUGGAAAGAACACCGAUGGCGAAGGCACUUUACUGGGCUAUUACUGACACUCAGAGACGAAAGCUAGGGUAGCGAAAUGGGAUUAGAUACCCCAGUAGUCCUAGCCGUAAACGAAUGGAUACUAGAUGUUGAACGAGAUCGACCUGUGCAGUAUCAAAGCUAACGCGUUAAGUAUCCCGCCUGGGAAAGUAUGCUUCGCAAGGGUG